RNAcentral lists this small RNA (757 nucleotides) under Malus domestica (apple). Its description in RNAcentral is "sRNA MD16G0013000". The record is from RNAcentral. Lineage: Eukaryota; Viridiplantae; Streptophyta; Magnoliopsida; Rosales; Rosaceae.
GUAUCAACUCAUUCUUCUAGUCAAGAAUAUCAGAGCUUCUUAGAGGGGGAAUAGAUAGGCUCUAAAACCAUGUCUUGGUUUUUUACAGUUCUCUUUCUUGUUACUGCUCUUACAUUUCAUACUCCUUCAGAGGCUAGCCAUGAGAAGAACGAUCCUUCUGCAGUUGUUGUAGGCACUGUCUACUGUGACACAUGUUUCCAAGAGGAUUUCUCACAUACCAGCCAUUUCAUUUCAGGGGCAUCUGUUGGUGUGGAGUGCAAAGAUGGGAGUUCAACAAAACCAAGUUUCAAGGCAGAAGUGAAAACAAAUAGCCAUGGACAAAUCAAAGUCCAACUGCCCUUCUCAGUGAGUAAACAUGUCAAGAAAAUUGAAGGAUGCUCCGUGAAACUAAUCAGCAGCAGUGAACCCUACUGUGCUGUGGCAUCAUCAGCUACUUCAUCUUCCCUACAUCUCAAGGCAAGAAAGCAAGGGACCCACAUAUUCUCUGCUGGGUUCUUCACCUUCAAGCCUCCCAAGCAACCCAGCUUAUGCAACCAGAAACCCAGCAUUCAGAAUUCCAAAAAAUUAAAUUCCCAGAAGUUCUCAUUCCCUCCUACUGAUGAGAUGGCGUUCCCAUCCCCCUCUCAGGUGGACCCCACAAUGCCCGAUCUCCCUCUCAUCCCAAAUGAUCUCCCAGGACUCCCAGGACUACCAGGUCUCCCAGGUCUCCCAGGCCUCCCAGGCACAGGUCUUCCAGGCGUCCCAGGUACAGGUCUUC